RNAcentral lists this ribosomal RNA (500 nucleotides) under uncultured bacterium. Its description in RNAcentral is "bacterial SSU rRNA". The stretch from base 1 to 433 matches the Rfam family "Bacterial small subunit ribosomal RNA", at positions 95 to 540 of the family's 1533-position model. The record is from RNAcentral.
GCGGCGGACGGGUGAGUAUGCUAGGAAUCUGCCUAUAUGGGGGGACAACAUACCGAAAGGAACGCCAAUACCGCAUACGCCCUACGGGGGAAAGCAGGGGAUCUUCGGACCUUGCGCAAAUAGAUGAGCCUAAGCCAGAUUAGCUAGUUGGUGGGGUAAGGCCUACCAAGGCGACGAUCUGAAGCGGGUCUGAGAGGAUGAUCCGCCACACUGGGACUGAGACACGGCCCAGACUCCUACGGGAGGCAGCAGUGGGGAAUAUCGCACAAUGGGCGAAAGCCUUGAUUCAUUCAUGCCGCGGCGCGAAGAAGGCCUGCAGGCUGGUAAGCACUUUUAAGCGAGGAGGGGCCACUGAGGUAAAACUCCUCGAUAGAGGCGUACCCCCCAAAACACCGACACCCCUGGGCAGAGCCGGGAGACCACAGGGGCAGCGGAUCCGACUACGGGCGAAAGCGGCGACCCCGCUUCCAGCGAGGGAAACCCUGGCCAACUACGAAUGG